CAGGUCGCCGGCAGUACGGCGCACUGCGUUCGGCCUCGGGUACAAAUUGCUAUGGACUACAAUUCCACGAUUGAGUUCUACUGGGCUCCCUUGCUGAAUCAAGUUCUGAUGAUGCGCUGUGGACUGUGUUGUUUCCUUGAAGUUAUCUGAAUUUUGAAGGGGCACAUCAAUGAUGUUGGCCAGGCUGCCCUUUCUGACAGCCGCUGAAACUGCCGCUG
Molecule: long non-coding RNA, 218 nt
Organism: Lolium rigidum
Lineage: Eukaryota; Viridiplantae; Streptophyta; Magnoliopsida; Poales; Poaceae
Exons: 3
Source: RefSeq, a predicted model, not a curated record